CCCUUAGAUGUUCUGGGCCGCACGCGCGCUACACUGACGAUGGCAAUGAGUUUUUCCUUCGCCGAAAGGUGUGGGUAAUCUUUUGAAACAUCGUCGUGCUGGGGAUAGAUCAUUGCAAUUUUUGAUCUUGAACGAGGAAUUCCUAGUAAGCGCGAGUCAUCAGCUCGCGUUGAUUACGUCCCUGCCCUUUGUACACACCGCCCGUCGCUACUACCGAUUGAAUGGUUUAGUGAGGACUCCUGAUUGGCGCCGCCGCCCCGGCAACGGAGCAGCGGACUGCCGAAAAGUUGUUCAAACUUGAUCAUUUAGAGGAAGUAAAAGUCGUAACA
This 329-nucleotide ribosomal RNA is filed under the name uncultured eukaryote. Its description in RNAcentral is "partial 18S ribosomal RNA". It matches the Rfam family "Eukaryotic small subunit ribosomal RNA", at positions 1470 to 1796 of the family's 1831-position model. The record is from RNAcentral.